AUUGCUUCUCAGCCUUUUGGCUAAGAUGAAGUGUAAAGUGUAUUUUUAU
Molecule: small nuclear RNA, 49 nt
Filed under: Cervus elaphus hippelaphus
Lineage: Eukaryota; Metazoa; Chordata; Mammalia; Artiodactyla; Cervidae
Source: RNAcentral